This is a non-coding RNA of Camelina sativa (false flax), 221 nucleotides long. The record is from RefSeq and is a predicted model, not a curated record. Lineage: Eukaryota; Viridiplantae; Streptophyta; Magnoliopsida; Brassicales; Brassicaceae.
UUCUCUCCUUUUAGCAUAAAUGUUGUAACUUUUUGGUUUUAAUCCUCGUGGGUUUUGUCGCUUCGUUACUCUAAACAAAGGAAUCACGACCUUUGUUGAUGAAAUUUCGUUCAGGUAAGGGCUUAAACAUGUUGGAGAUGGAUAUGGUAGAGAGGUUAAACACUGACCAGAGUGUAUUCCAAGAUCAGGAUACGAUUAGCACUCGCCCUUUCUGUGGUAAU